UACGAAGGGGGCUAGCGUUGCUCGGAAUCACUGGGCGUAAAGCGCACGUAGGCGGACUCUUAAGUCAGGGGUGAAAUCCUGGAGCUCAACUCCAGAACUGCCUUUGAUACUGAGAGCCUUGAGUUCGGGAGAGGUGAGUGGAACUGCGAGUGUAGAGGUGAAAUUCGUAGAUAUUCGCAAGAACACCAGUGGCGAAGGCGGCUCACUGGCCCGGUACUGACGCUGAGGCACGAAAGCAUGGGGAGCGAACAGG
Molecule: ribosomal RNA, 253 nt
Filed under: uncultured bacterium
Lineage: Bacteria
Description: partial 16S ribosomal RNA
Rfam family: Bacterial small subunit ribosomal RNA
Source: RNAcentral